RNAcentral lists this long non-coding RNA (284 nucleotides) under Homo sapiens (human). Its description in RNAcentral is "HSALNT0109765". Lineage: Eukaryota; Metazoa; Chordata; Mammalia; Primates; Hominidae. The record is from RNAcentral.
CGGAAGAGUACUGAAAAUACUAAGAAAGUAGGGCUUCCCUACACCUGAAACAUCAGCAGGAGCCACCUGCAGAGUUGUAGAGUUGAUUCCAUUUAUAUAGUACCUGUCAGAGUCCCAGACACAACACAAGCCGACAUCUACGUGCAAAGAGGUAGGUUGAAUCCAAACAAUAAUCUUCAGGCAGAAGUAGGCGCCACUUUCCAGGGGGCUGGAAAGCAGGGUGCCCUCUAAACUGCUGUCCUCAUGAAGGCACACUGCAAGGAUGGUGUGGAUAGGCAAAAAAG